Molecule: long non-coding RNA, 8544 nt
Organism: Myiozetetes cayanensis
Lineage: Eukaryota; Metazoa; Chordata; Aves; Passeriformes; Tyrannidae
Exons: 2
Source: RefSeq, a predicted model, not a curated record
AGAAAACAGUCUCUGAAUUUCCUUUAUUAUCUACCUGUGUGUCUGAAUUAAAGAACCAGAGUUUUAGUAGGUAUCCUCUAGUUGUUUAUUGCUGGUUUUUGUUUGUUUGUUUGUUUGUUUGUUUGUUUUCCUUUAUUGUGACCUUGCUGGAUGAGAGGAUGGAGAGAAUGUUUCCUUGGUGAAGUGUGAGGGAUUAUUGAGUCUUUACGGUUUCUCUCUAAUAGUGAUGUGACUUAUUGUAGCACUUUCCCCUGACAGCAGCAAUGUUUAUUUCUAAAGUAUCAUUUUCAUACUUAAGCACAUGCAGUGCUAGAUUGGAAAACUUCUAAUGACAAUUGCAUGGCAUGUUUGUUUUUAAAUGGUUAUGUUGAACGACGGCAGAAAAAUUAAUCUGUAGUUUUUAAAGAUCUGUGAUUUUUAUAUCUGUUAUUUAACAGAGCCAUAAUGCCAUCACCGAGCGCUGCCAGUUGGGUAUAAAGUGCAGUGUGUAACACUUUCUGGUGGCAGAGUUGCUCUAAGUGGAGAAAUAAUUUAAGCGGUACAAGGAUUUUUAUGGCACUCUUGUCACAAUUAGCUGUGUUUAUGAAAUAUGAAUUUACACAACAUCUGCCUUUCGGGGCUGGCGUUCCCCUCGGAGCCCGCUCGCUUCCCAGACCGGCAGUGUUGUGCCUGGAGCAUCAUGAUAGGGCAGGAUGGAUUGUGUGGUGGAUGGACAACCGUGGCAACAUAAGGAUUCACUUGAUAGAUGUGGGUGGGGAAUUUGUGCAGGAAAUGCAGAUGGUUUAAAGUGUAAAACCUUUCGGUUUCUCUUUAGCAGGGCGGCUUGCUUAGGCGCAGCAAGGUCCCUGACCUGCAACUGGCUUGUCCCGUUCUCGCUCCUCACAGUCUUUCUGCUCAUCCCUUUAAUUUUUGUGCUUCCCUGUAGGCAAAAAGGGUGGCAUGUGUGGUGUGCUGGUGGGGUGGGAUUUAGGGUCUGGCACACACCAUUACAGUGGAUUUUGGAGGGAAUAGUCCUCUCUAUCCCGAAGCUGCAGAUGAGGACUUGCAGUGAGGUGGGUGAAUCCAGCUGGACCUUGCAGCAUCAAAGUGCUGGUUUGUCUCCUCCAAACUCUCCUCUUUCACAUGCCUCUUGGUGGUCACCCCCUUACCUGAGGGUUUCAGGCAUUUUACAUGGUUACAUCUGUCAAAUUUGUCUCAUCGUGGACCACUGUGCCUUUUACUGUUUUAUUUUCCUCCAGCACAUGGUGGAGGGCUCCUCUUGCCCCUCCUGGCUAAACUCAGAGAUGGUCAUUAAUAUCUAACUGCUAAAAUUUUUGUAAGCAUCACAGGAAAGUCAAGUUCACAGAAGGAUAAAGUAGCCUGAGAGACACUGAUGCUCCUCCUUCGAUAAGGGCUGGCUUUGGGGGAGAGAGCAGGAGGUGCUUUACAAAAGGUGGAGAUUCCCAUCAUGGGCCAACUUGGGGCACAGGUAGCUUUUCACACCAAUGGGAAGCGGGCACAAUGAUGAGAGACUGUGGAAAAACGUUAAAAAUAAUUCUAUGCCGCUUCUCCCACUUUCCAUACCUUGCCUAUCUUGUCUAGUGAAUGCUUCAGAUCUGGCACUGCCCCUCAGGGCAGAAGCUGUGCAAGUGCAAAGGUCUCAGCCUGGCCCGUCGGGAGGGGCAACAUUCAGUAUGUGGAGAAAUUGUCCUGAAACAUUCACAGUGAGUGCCGUUGGCACAACAUCCUGCAGAUUUUGAGGCCCAAUGUUAAGAAAUGAGUACUCAAACUUAGAGGUUGUACAACUUGGAGAGCCUGGCGCAAGGGUUCGGUUGGGUGGUGGGAGCGAUCUAAAUGCUCACUGCUAUUUUUGGCAUCAUUCGGGGCAAGAUAAUUGAGGUUGCUCAUGUAGCAAGCUCUGGUAUUGUGAAGACUAAGAGCAGACUGUGCUCUGUGUUACCUUUACAUCCACAUUUUAGAAGAUGAAGUAAAAAUAGUACCAAGUGUUACAUCUUGGUGAAACCAUCCAGCAAAACCUCCUUGUUCUUCCAUAGAUAUUUAGUCCAGCUUUCUGCUGCUGCCACCUGCUUCCAAUUGCUCUCUUACCAAUAUUUGCAAAUUAUUGUUACAACUGCUAGAUCAGAGUGAAAAUUAUGUGCAAUACGUUGUUAUAGUGGAGAUCAAUCAUAUUAUCUUAGAGCUAGUUUAAUCUGGUGAAGGAGAGAGUCCAAACUAGUUAAUUAUCUCUUCUUUGGGUUAUCCUUCUAUGAAAUGGGGAUAAUCAUAAUCAUAAAAUGUGCUUUAGGACUUAUUAAAUAUUUCUGAAGCACUUACGAAUCAUAGUUAAAAAAAUAAUUGCCUAGUAAAUUGUCUACUUAAUAAAAUGUAAAAGAUCUAGAAUAUAUUACACUUCAUAAUCAUUUAAAUAGAUGCAUGUAGUUUAUUUACCUGCUCAGUGAGAACUAACAACAUUGAAAGCAAAUAGGUGUUUAGGAGAACUAUAUUGGCAAAAUGAAAUUAUUUAAAUCAGGGUUUCCAGUUCACUAGUUUAAAUUACUUUUACAUUUAUGAUUUAGGCUUUGAUUUAAAGCAUACUUUGUGCUGUUAACGUUCAAAAUUUAUCAUCAACACUGAAACUGUGAACACAAAAGACAUUCUUGGCAAGACCUGCAGAAUGCAGUGUCAGUAUAUUUCUCUGGAAUGCUAGAGAUUUAGAAAACAAAACCUUCUUCUCGGUGCUUACAACUUUUGAUAUAUGGGGGAAAAAAAACCAAAACAAGCUGCAAAUGAUUAUAUUUUAGUCAACAGACUGAUGGGUGGCUGUUCCAACGGCCUGGAAGGGCCAAGGGCUGAGUAGAGAUACUGCUGGCAUUGUAGAGAUACUCUGUGUCAUUGGUCUUUUUAGAAUCGGAGGAAUAUUUAUAAAGAUUUUUUUGAAUAAAUAACAUCAAUUUCUUCAUCAAAUAUGAAAGGACUGAUAAUGUUUGCUCUUGCUUUUGUGGAUUAGGAGUAAUACCAAGAAAGAGACUUGUUGUGCAUUACCAACAGAAAUACUGCAGAAUGGAAGGGACUUUUUAGAGCUUUUUAUUCGUUUAUUGUUCUGCCGAGCAAUUAGAAAAACAAAAUCUCUUUACGUUGUCUUUACACUCAACAGAUUGGCAUUUGUUUUUCUCUUUCUUUAAAAAGCCCUCAAACAACCAACCAGCUGAGAUUUUCUUCAGUCGGGAAGGAAGUUUAGACCCAAAGUUUCCAGAAUUUGUGACUCUUAUUCUCAUGUUACUGCAGCUGGGAAUACGAAGGGGAAGGUGUAGGCUUUGCAUGAAGGUUGUGUGUAGCCUUCUAAGCUGUGCAAGGCUGUAAAUCCUCAAACCAGCUCUGCCUCCCAGCACUUUUACAUGGAUCCUGGUGUAGCCAUGGUGCUGUGUGGCCCCAGGGAUGGGGGUUCCAUAGGUGAUGCUCAGGUGAGAACAUGGUGCACUUACCUCUCCUGCUUGAUCUCUUCCGGAUAAUAAAAGGGGAUGGGCUGCUGUCUCUUUUCACAGGACUCAUAUAUCCUCAAGGAUUUUCCAGAAUUAAGUGCCUGUGAAAUUAGGAGCAGAGGAAUGGCUCUGGACAGGACUUACUAGCCCUUUACUUGCCUUUAGGAAAUGUUGUGAUUAGGGAUCUGAAUUACGCCCGUUAAGAAAUGGUAAUUUCAACUUUAAAUAACGACGCUUUAAAUUGUGAUUUGCAUUUGUAUCUUUAAGGGGUAAAUACCAGAUUGCAUAAGUAGUUUUGUACCUUCCUGUUUUCAUUCUUACUCAGACUACCUUGAAAUAGAAUAACCUCUGAGUUGUUACUGUGAUGUAUUGGUACCACAGUUUGAAAACCAAGAUCAAUAAUCAUAUUUCCUAUCUUCUUCAACAACAAAAAGAAAAAACUCCAUUAUUUUCUGAGCUGUUCAAAAAUGUUGCUUGCCUCAUUUUGUGUGUACCCACUUCAGUGACCAGAAUGUCAAUGGAGGCUUUGUUUAAAUGUUUUUCUUUAUUUUUUUCGCUCCACUCCCACCCACACAUACACCUGUUCAUCUAAGUCUUUUGGGCCAGAUAUUGGUUUAUUUGGUUGGGGCUUUAUGUUUUGUUUUUUUUUUCUUCCCCCAUCGUUCAGUUAACUGCUUGUUGUCAGCAAUUCUGGCACAUCCCCUUGUUUUCUGUGGAAAAAAAGGCUUGUUUCCAAUGGCAAAGAGUUAAUCUGGCUCAGAGUUAGAUUAACUGUUGCAGUAGCUCAUGAUAAACAUCUGUUGCAAUACUCCCAGAUGAGAACAUUGCUUUCAGAACUAUUUACUGCACGUUUUGAACCGUGCACUUUACUUGUGGUUUUAUUUUUUCCCCUCCAAUUACUAAAUUCUUUUGAAAGGACAUAAAUCCAUAAGAGUCUAUCUCGGAGACUGUGUUUAUUUUAUGAUACAGGGAAGGAAAUGUGGUUAUUGAGUUAUUGCUCAUGUGCUAGAGCGCCUGAAUACGUCUGACUGGAGCGCAGAGGCGUGUGCAUUCCUUAAUAAAAACCAACUGUGGAGCGGCUCCUGGGAGUGCUGCCGCGUGUGUCCGUGCUCUGCCUGUGGUGGAACCCUCUGGAUGCAGAUCCUCUGAGUGUUUUCCUCCUGCUCUGAGUUUGGCAAGAUAAGGCUGGCAGGGAAUGGAGUUUUACUUGGGCCUGGAACCCAAGGGUGGGUAUGUGGUUGGAACGGUUUGGCCAGUAGGACUUGGCCGUUGAGGAAACCUUCUGCUAUUUCUUUGGAACUUUUUUAUUUUUUUUCUUUUUUUAAUUAUUAAAGAAGUUUUUGAAUUCUAGAUAUUUAAUGGAUCAAACAGUGACAGCUUCUCCUGCAGCUGGCUUUUGAAGUUAGCUCUGCCAGCAGCCACUUCUCGCUGUAGCUGAGGAUCCAAGAGCAAGCAAGCAAAGCAAGCUUUGGUACAUUUUCCCAAAACAUCAACAACCUUCUCCCCCACCCCGCCCAAGCCACAAAACCAAACCAUUCUUGGUGUCUCUGGGAAAACACCAUUGGAAAACAACAUGGAAUACCUUAAAUGGUGUGUGUUUUUCCAACAAAUAGUUUUUCUUUCUUAUGCUAAUAAGGAAGAUCCUGUUAAUGAAAUCAUGUUCAAAGUGUUUCCCAUAUUUCUCAGAAGGUGAAAAAUAUUUUUGAGCUGAAUUACAUAUGCCUAAUGUUUCCUAACAAUAUCAGAGAAAAUAUCUGUGUACUUUACAAGUGUGUUGAUCUUCACCACGAUUAGCCCUCUCUGCAUAGCUGUCUAACAAACCUAGGCAAAGAAAUGGGUGACUUUCACACACUGAAGCUACUUUAGUAAAAUACAUCAGUCUGUAGCUUUAUUUCUUGCUGAUUUUCUUAGGUCUGGCAGAAACACUUGUUUUAGCAAUAAAUCUGUAAGAACAGCCGUUCUGGUUCAGAUCAAGCACAUCUAAUUCAAUAUCCUGUCUGUGAUGGUGAUCAGCAGCAGGUAUCUAGGGAAGCGUACAAGAACAGUGAUAAAGUGUUAGAAUCCAAGGUGAGAUUUCUUAGUUUACCAGUUUUAUGGUGCUAUCAGGAUUUUCAGAAUCUGCUUCCUAAACAUAAUGCUGAAAUGACAGGUGUGUGAUACUUAACAGCCUCGGCUUUCUCUUAAGGGCUGUGGUAGUGAUAGGAGGAUAAAAAAGGAAAAAAAAAACCUGAAAAGUAAUGGAUGGUACAUAAAAUAAAAAGAAAUAAUGGUAUAGACUGGGAAAAAUAGUGAAAAAGGAGCUAUAAUUACUGCAUAGUAUAAAGAAAUGGCAGGAGGGUACCCUCCUGCACUGGAGCUCACUAAGACCUUGGCAGGUUUUUAUCCAUCACUUGUGUCACAUCGUUUGGGCACAGGGAAGAGCAGGGCACAGCCAGUACAUGGAGAAAUAGUUGGCCUGAGCCUAGUUCAAGGCAAGAUGGUAGAGGGCAGACAAAUAAAGUGUGGGAGAAGAAACACAUGGGAAAGGGGAACGUGAGUGAAGGGAGUGUCAAAGGAACCUUUAGAAACUCGGGAUUAUUCUCUGUCUGUAAAUAUCUGACCAUCGAAAUUAGUGAGUAAGAGGUGUUGUCUGUGUAGGAAGUAUGUUCUGCAGGCCUGCACUGACUCCCUUGUGGCAUCACCGUAUUUUUCCAGGCUUCAAGACACCCAGGUUUUAUUUUUAGCGCUCCCCUGGGUUCUGUUUUAUGGUGAACCUGUCCCAGCUUGCUGCAGUCAUUACUACUAAGACCGUCUAAAUAGCAAAACUUGAAAAUACUUGGAGCAAUGUAAAUAGUAAUAAAUUAUUUUGUCUUAGUGUGGAUUAAAAGGUACACACUUUGGGUGGACUUGGUUUUGGGUCAGGUUUUUUGAAUGCUCUGGAGCAGGAGGAUGAUGAACCUUCCAUCAGUGGCGUGCAGAGGUAAUGGUGCUGUACUUUAAAUAGCAGACACGAGGGCGUUGUGACUGGGACAUUGUCGCUUUAGCAUUCGCUUCUUAAAAAGUAGAUUUUUUUUUUUUUUUUUAGGGAGCUUUUACAAAGGUGUGUGGAAAACUGUUAUUGACUGUCUAAAGUGAGUUCAAGAAUAAUGCUGGUGAGGAGGUGUUACAGUGGAUGAGGAGGUGUUACAGCAAACUGCUCACCAAAAUAAGUCGUGCUGCAAGCACGCAUCAAAUCUGGCAAAUUCAGGGUUUAUUGUGUGUGUGUCAGGAUGGAGAGAAGAGGAUGCAUUUGAGUACAAAAGGGCAAGAGCCAUCUUGAAUUUUAACACAGUGUAUGUAAUCCUAUGAGCAGCAAAGGGGUUUAGGACAACCAGAGGAAGUGGGUGCUUUGCGGUGCCUUACAGGAAGGACAGCUUCAUCUGUGCCUAAAGACCAGGCAAAGGGGGUUUCUCAGCUCAUAGAUAAGAGAGAAACAAAAGGAAGAUACAGAAGAGAAGCUGAAGAAGAAAGGAAAGAAAGAGAAAAAGUAGUGGAGAAAAUCAGAACAGAGUUGGCUUUUCUAAAAGGACUUGUCCGGGAAGCAAAAUGAGCAGCUUCCCUCCUGUAUUUUUUUCCUGUUUUUAGCCCAUCCCAGAUACUGCUAUUCCAAGAUAAGUGGGUCAGGCAAACGGGCAUAAUUAAUAGCGAUUUCACAGUUGCUGUGGGUAUGGGAGAGUGUAGUGGGAAGGGUGGAUUCAAGGAAAUGUUGGCAGGCUCUCAAUGGAAAGCUCCCAGCUGAGCCCCAGGUUGCCAUACCCAUCUUCUGCCAUAAGACUUUGGGCUGUGCCAGCCAGGUGGGAGCUGGAUCAAAGUGGGAAUAGAGCAGAUGGAUGCUCCGCUGGAUGCUCUAGUGGAUGAAGUGUAGCACAUCUUGAGUACACAGAAUUUAGUAUGGGACAGUUUGUAUUUGUGAGAGCAGUUGGGGAAAGGAUGGAUCAACCCUUUGAACAGCAUAGUGGGGAAACAAACUGCAAAGUGCCCUGACCAGGGGACAUAAUGGGACAUAAUGUUUUUCUGUCAGAUAUUCUGGGUUUAUUAGUAAGGAGUAUUUCCUGUGGCCUACAUGCACCUCUAGUUUCAAUUACACAGCUAGUUACAGUUUGAAGGUGUCGCUGCAGAGAAACGUCUUCAAAAAAAGUGAGCCAUAAACCAUGUAGUGCUGUCACAGAAGAUGGAAGACACGCCACUUGCCUUGUUCAAAUCUGCUUUUUGCAAAGUUGAAAUUUUAUUUGGUUUCACUCUUUUUUUUCCUGAUGGAGCCAGGCUACUAUGAACAGCUGUGCUGCAUCCUGGUCAGGGUUAAUGCCAUGUUUUCGGAUGCUCCUGAGGCCCUGGUGGUUCUUUUCAAAUCCUGGUGUGCCCUCUUCUCUUGAGCAGGUCGAGCCCGUUGGAUUAGUGUUCCCAGCGGCCUCCGUGCUUGGAUUACACCCCCCAACAUCACCUGCUUGUGUUGCCACCAGGGCCUGCAAGAAAAGCUUCUAUCUCGUUGAAAAGGAAACACCUGAACAGGAGCUUUUUACACCCCUAUGAUACAUUCAACUCAGCCACCUUGGAAAUUCGCUGGGUGGGAGCAGCGUGCCCUGGUUGCUGUGGUAGAGGCUCAUAAACAGUCACUUCAUCCAGCUGGGACCUUUCAGGGCUGGCUGUUUGGGGACCACUGCCCUGCAUCCCUUGCUGGAGAUGGGUUGUUUGUGGGGGUGGACGUGGUGCUCGCAGAGGGGAGGCAAUGUACAGAACGGCCAUUCCGCAGAGUGGGAGUGCGACACCUCGGGAAGAUGAUCUUACUCUGUUUGCCUCCAGAAACCCAGUAAAUUAAUGUUUUUAGCUCUGUAAAUGUGCUUGUGGGUUGCAGGGUAGCUGGCUACAUACAUCUCGUGCUUUAAGCUCUUGAAUGCAGAGGAUGGUGUGGAAGCAUCUGAGGGUUUGGUUUUUUACACCAGAUCAAGUCUGUGUUUCAGAUUUUAGGGUGCAUUAGGAAACUUCAUCCUGCCAUUUCUCCACAUGGAUCUGACUGUGGUAUUGAACCUUUGUCCUUUUCGUGGAAAAUAAAAAGAUGAUUCUAUCAGUG